Molecule: ribosomal RNA, 520 nt
Filed under: uncultured bacterium
Lineage: Bacteria
Description: bacterial SSU rRNA
Rfam family: Bacterial small subunit ribosomal RNA
Source: RNAcentral
AGGACGAACGCUGGCGGCGUGCCUAAUACAUGCAAGUCGAACGGUCUUUCUAUGGAAGCUUGCUUCCACUGAGGAGAUAGUGGCGAACGGGUGAGUAACACGUGGGUAACCUGCCCAUAAGAGGGGGAUAACAUCCGGAAACGGGUGCUAAUACCGCAUAGUUUUCUUGAUCGCAUGAUCGGGAAAGGAAAGACGGCCUUUGUGCUGUCGCUUAUGGAUGGACCCGCGGCGUAUUAGUUAGUUGGUGAGGUAACGGCUCACCAAGACGAUGAUACGUAGCCGACCUGAGAGGGUGAUCGGCCACAUUGGGACUGAGACACGGCCCAAACUCCUACGGGAGGCAGCAGUAGGGAAUCUUCCGCAAUGGACGAAAGUCUGACGGAGCAACGCCGCGUGAGUGAAGAAAGGGUUUUCGGAUCGUAAAACUCUGUUGUCAGAGAAGAACAAGUUGGAGAGUAACUGCUCCAGCCUUGACGGUAUCUGACCAGAAAGCCACGGCUAACUACGUGCCAGCCGCCGC